This 550-nucleotide ribosomal RNA is filed under the name uncultured bacterium. Its description in RNAcentral is "partial 16S ribosomal RNA". It matches the Rfam family "Bacterial small subunit ribosomal RNA", at positions 355 to 895 of the family's 1533-position model. The record is from RNAcentral.
UGGGGAAUUUUGGACAAUGGGCGAAAGCCUGAUCCAGCAAUGCCGCGUGUGUGAAGAAGGCCUUCGGGUUGUAAAGCACUUUUGUCCGGAAAGAAAUCCUUGGCUCUAAUACAGUCGGGGGAUGACGGUACCGGAAGAAUAAGCACCGGCUAACUACGUGCCAGCAGCCGCGGUAAUACGUAGGGUGCAAGCGUUAAUCGGAAUUACUGGGCGUAAAGCGUGCGCAGGCGGUUUGCUAAGACCGAUGUGAAAUCCCCGGGCUCAACCUGGGAACUGCAUUGGUGACUGGCAGGCUAGAGUAUGGCAGAGGGGGGUAGAAUUCCACGUGUAGCAGUGAAAUGCGUAGAGAUGUGGAGGAAUACCGAUGGCGAAGGCAGCCCCCUGGGCCAAAUACUGACGCUCAUGCACGAAAGCGUGGGGAGCAAAACAGGAUUAGAUCCCUGGUAGUGCCACGCCCUAAAACGAUGUCAACUAGUUGUUGGGGAUUCAUUUCCUUAGUAACGUAGCUAACGCGUGAAGUUGACCGCCUGGGGGGUACGGUCGCAAGAUU